CAGUCGUACCUUCGGGUAAUCAGCUUCGCUCUUGCGUGGUGUACUUUCUGGUUGACGGGUCAGCAUCAAUUUUGACUGCUGGAAAAAGGCUUAGGGAAUGUGGCAGCUUCGGCUGUGUUAUAGCCCUUGGUCACAUACAGCGGUUGGGAUUGAGGAACUCAGCACGCCGCAAGGCCGGUUUCGACCACGUUCGUGCUUAGGAUGCUGGCAUAAUGGCUUUAANCGACCCGUCUUGAAACACGGACCAAGGA
RNAcentral lists this ribosomal RNA (251 nucleotides) under Diversispora epigaea. Lineage: Eukaryota; Fungi; Glomeromycota; Glomeromycetes; Diversisporales; Diversisporaceae. The record is from RNAcentral.